Oncorhynchus gorbuscha (pink salmon) is the source of this 957-nucleotide long non-coding RNA. RefSeq lists it as uncharacterized. The record is from RefSeq and is a predicted model, not a curated record. NCBI's taxonomy places the organism in Eukaryota, Metazoa, Chordata, Actinopteri, Salmoniformes, Salmonidae. The transcript has 3 exons.
UCUGAAUCACCCAAAAGAGAAAAAGAAGCAAGAAAAAGACUGCUCAUGACCAAUCCAUAAACAUCCAUUUUGAAAGGUGGAAGAGUAACGCUGAAAUGGACGCCGUUCUCAGGGACUGGUAAAGUUAGGGAGAUACUGGUGGAGACCGUUUGCUUUAGAGUGAACCUGAGGCUGUACAAGUUGUGGUUGUCCAAACCCCGACAUUGAAAGAGAGCACAUUGCCUGCCUUUAUACAGCAUUGAGUCCUACUUAGUGUGAACUACCGACCAGAUCCACUGAAGGAAUAUCCAGUGUAACCAAUGGCUCAUCAAGUAACCAAUGGCUCAUCAAGUAACCAAUGGCUCAUCAAGUAACCAAUGGCUCAUCAAGUAACCAAUGGCUCAUCAAGUAACCAAUGGCUCAUCAAGUAACCAUUGGCUCAUCAAGUAACCAAUGGCUCAUCAGGUAACCAAUGGCUCAUCAAGUAACCAAUGGCUCAUCAGGUAACCAAUGGCUCAUCAAGUAACCAAUGGCUCAUCAAGUAACCAAUCGCUCAUCAAGUAACCAAUGGCUCAUCAAGUAACCAAUGGCUCAUCAAGUAACCAAUGGCUCAUCAGGUAACCAAUGGCUCAUCAAGUAACCGAUCGCUCAUCAAGUAACCAAAGGCUCAUCAAGUAACCAAUCGCUCAUCUGCAUGACAUAUUGGUGGACUAUGGGCCAUGACGUCACAGGACGGUCACAUUAGCAUGUUACUGUCACGACUCCUACCGAAGGUGGCUCCUCUUCCUGUCCGGGCGGCGCUCGGCCGACGACCGGUCUACUAGCUGCCACCGAUCCCCUUUUCUGUUUUCUGUUGGUUCGGUCUGAUUUGGUUCACCUGUUUCUGGUUUACAUUUUGAGCUGGGCUAUUUAAGCCGGUUGUCCCGCCUGCUCUUUCUGCGGGCUUGGUUCUUUUUCCCACUGUGUUGAUGUGUGGUA